RNAcentral lists this ribosomal RNA (456 nucleotides) under uncultured bacterium. Its description in RNAcentral is "bacterial SSU rRNA". It matches the Rfam family "Bacterial small subunit ribosomal RNA", at positions 355 to 803 of the family's 1533-position model. The record is from RNAcentral.
UGGGGAAUAUUGCGCAAUGGGGGGAACCCUGACGCAGCCAUGCCGCGUGAAUGAAGAAGGCCUUAGGGUUGUAAAGUUCUUUCGGUAUUGAGGAAGGUUGAUGUGUUAAUAGCACAUCAAAUUGACGUUAAAUACAGAAGAAGCACCGGCUAACUCCGUGCCAGCAGCCGCGGUAAUACGGAGGGUGCGAGCGUUAAUCGGAAUAACUGGGCGUAAAGGGCACGCAGGCGGUUAUUUAAGUGAGGUGUGAAAGCCCCGGGCUUAACCUGGGAAUUGCAUUUCAGACUGGGUAACUAGAGUACUUUAGGGAGGGGUAGAAUUCCACGUGUAGCGGUGAAAUGCGUAGAGAUGUGGAGGAAUACCGAAGGCGAAGGCAGCCCCUUGGGAAUGUACUGACGCUCAUGUGCGAAAGCGUGGGGAGCAAACAGGAUUAGAUACCCUGGUAGUCCACGCUGU